CUUUCUGUCUAUCUCUGAUACAUUCCAGGCUUUGCUUGUUGAUGAGGGUAAACAGGUCAUAUCACAGCAAUUUCCCAGGAAAGACCUUGAAGCCACUACCCACUUGAUUACCAGAUACUGGGCCACAUAGGAUAAAUGGUGCUGCUGUGCAAUCUUCUGCUUCUAGUUUUUACAACAGCACCAGAAUGACAGAAGAUCUGUUUUGGGUUCUGAGUUGGAUAGUUACUACCUCUUCACCUGACUUGUCUACGCUGUCAACUUGCAUAACCAGUGAAAAAUAAUGAAAUAAUGGCGAUCAACCCUCUUCUGCUCUUGGCAGCUCAGCUUUUCCAAAGCCUUAAAUCUCCAUCUCAACUGCUAUUCCUUCUUAAACAUUUCUGGAAGAAUUUGUCACCUCAAUUUACCAACUCACUAAUUUUCACUUUGCCAGUAGCUCAUGAGAAUUUUAAUUAAAAAAUGAGCUUUGGAUAGCAGAUGUAAGGUAAGCUGACAUAAUGUAAUUUGUAUUGUUA
RNAcentral lists this long non-coding RNA (512 nucleotides) under Cercocebus atys (sooty mangabey). RNAcentral describes it as "lncRNA (ENSCATG00000045627.1)". Lineage: Eukaryota; Metazoa; Chordata; Mammalia; Primates; Cercopithecidae. The record is from RNAcentral.